CAGGAAGCUCUAGUGAUUUUUCUUCCAUAUAUUACGAAUACCCCACCACAGGGUCAUAAUCCAAUUAAAAUGAAUCAACAACUAGACCUAUACUCGUCUGACUUACCCACGAGAAGAGGCAACAUGGACCUCUUUACUCUUACAUGCUAAGAUGAUCAGGGAGUCUACUUGGGGGGUAGAAAUGACCAACUUCUCCUUUGAAAGAAAGAGGAAAGUAAUCUGCCAAUUCAUGGCACGGUGAUUCUUUUGUCCAGAACCAAAGUGGCCUCCAACCUUUCCAAAAGAAGUGGGGGACCCCUUGCUCCAGGGGCUGGGAAAGAGCUGCCUGCUCACGGACCAAAUACAGCCUGCCAUCUGUUUUUGUAAAGAGAUCUGCGCCGGAACACAGCCACGCCCUUACGUCUGCGGACUGCCGACGGCUCCUUUCUCACCACCAAGGCAGAGCUCAGCAGCUGGGAUAGACAGUACACAGUCCAAGAAGCCUCAAAUAUUUACCUUUACAGAAAAACUUUUCUGACCACUGGUGUACACCAAUAUCAAAGAAGCUUCUUAUAUAUAAGAAAAAUGGGGAAUCCUUGGAGGGGAGAAACCACAAGAUCUUUAAGCCAAGAAAAUGGAUAUUCUUACCACUAAAGCUGAGAGAUUACAUGACUGUCAACCAUAGUGAGCAUAACCCAAAAAAGGGCCCAGGAAGCCAAUGGUCUACUUUACCCGAAGUAAAAAGAACCUGCUAAGUCCACCAGAUUGAGUAGGGAAGUCCGUAUAUUCACAGUCUCAUUGCUUUUCUCCAUUGACUCUAUUGUAAUUGUAAAAACUGCAUGAGACCGAGAAGAUUCUCUAUUCAUUGACGUUGAUGCCACACGUCUGUUUCUCCAUCCUCCAGACAGCACCUACGCAAAGGGAAAAUUUCCACAACUUUCAAGUGACACAACAGCCAUUUUCAUACUGACAGAUUAUACAGACAAAAAAAUUAGUAAAAAUGUAAAACCCUGUAUCCAAGGAUAUACAUUCUUCUCAUGUGCAAGUUUACAAAACUGGCCCACUGUAUUAAUUCAUAAAUCAUUUCUCAAUAAAUUUCAAAGCAUCUCACAAGACCAUAUUCUCUGAUACCAUGGCAAUUAA
Callorhinus ursinus (northern fur seal) is the source of this 1122-nucleotide long non-coding RNA. RefSeq lists it as uncharacterized. Lineage: Eukaryota; Metazoa; Chordata; Mammalia; Carnivora; Otariidae. The record is from RefSeq and is a predicted model, not a curated record.